AUCAAUCCACCAUGCCUAAAUUUGCCUACCCGAACCUACCAUUUGCAUAUCCAAUUAGCGACCUAAAAUCGUGACACUAUCGAGUUCACCAACAUUAUUCAUGUUUAUUCCAAGUUGAAUAAAAAGUAACAAUAAAACCAUCAUUAACCCAAAUUCAUCAUUUUAUCAAUAUCGUAAUUCCACCCCAAUUUUCCUUUUAUCAACCCAUUAAAACAUGAUCAAACUCAU
Molecule: long non-coding RNA, 228 nt
Filed under: Capsicum annuum
Lineage: Eukaryota; Viridiplantae; Streptophyta; Magnoliopsida; Solanales; Solanaceae
Description: long non-coding RNA (CANN_LNC020623)
Source: RNAcentral